AGCUAUUCUUACUUAUCUUUUUAUACAAGAUUUUUUUUACAAGAUUAUAUUUGCACCAUCAGAUGUAGAAUGCCAACUUUGUUCAAGCUCCCCCUAGCCAUAUACCAUAUAUUCAUGUUCUGCUUGAUUUCUACUCUGUGGUUGAGCAAAAUCCUGUGUAUAAUACUUAUGCAUCUUGCAUUGCACUUCAGCUUAAUUUUUGUAGAGGCCACCCUGUGCAGCUUUCUCAAUUUCAUCCAUAACAAAACAAGGGGCAUUUUACAUACUCUUAGGUAAUUGCUUGGGUACAUUGUAUUUUGAUAUCCUUCAGGUCUACUAUUUGAACUCAUCAAUUAGUGAGUAGGAUGAAUAGAUAUUUACUUAGGCUUGAUGUUGCUACUUCCCUAAAGAGAUUUUCUAUUGGUUCUAUCAACUAUAAAUAAUUUAUUCCUUCAUAUUCUGCCAGUGUCUCUUUCAGUGUGAUACGUGAAUUCAGUAUGCAUAUGCUCUAUUAACCUAGGUGCUACUUUCAUUAUGUCAUGAUAAAUUGAGUUAUGCCCAUUUCAGAUAUAUGAUCUCUACUUUUAUUUAGCUCAUAAAGGUAGAUUGUUUCUCCUUUGGCAGUUCAAACCGGUAUGCUCCGUUUGUAUCAAGUAAAACAGUUACGGAGUUGCUAGAAAUAUGGCGCCAUAUACUACAGUCGAUUUUUUUUCAGCCACUUACACAGUAGUUACACCUCAUUUACACCCCACUUACAUAUGUAAUUAGUAUAUAAUUUUCGAAUUUACAUAUGUAAUUUUAGUACUUACAUAUGUAAUUUUGAGACUUACAUUGUAAAUACACUAAAAUUACAUAUGUAAUUUAGGGACUUACAAUGUAAAUACAUGCCGACUAUUUUUUGAUAAAAAAUAUGGCGCCAUAAAUAUAGCUACACCCAACAGUUAUAGGUCAUGUACAUGGAACAAUUGAUACAUUUUUCGCUAUAUUGUAAUGAUAAAGGAUAUUUCAUUGAUUAGCAAAAGAUUCAUAUAACUUUUGAUUUGAU
Molecule: small RNA, 1024 nt
Filed under: Oryza sativa Japonica Group (Japanese rice)
Lineage: Eukaryota; Viridiplantae; Streptophyta; Magnoliopsida; Poales; Poaceae
Description: sRNA Os11g0515700
Source: RNAcentral